UAAGACGUAGGGUGCAAGCGUUGUCCGGAUUUACUGGGCGUAAAGAGCGCGUAGGCGGCUCGUUAAGUGAGAAGUGAAAGCUGUGGGCUCAACCCACAAACCGCUUUUCAUACUGGCGAGCUGGAGUGAUGCAGAGGUGGAUAGAAUUCCCGGUGUAGCGGUGAAAUGCGUUGAUAUCGGGAGGAAUACCCGUGGCGAAGGCGGUCCACUGGGCAUCAACUGACGCUGAGGCGCGAAAGCGUGGGUAGCAAACAGGAUUAGAUACCCUGGUAGUCCACGCCCUAAACGAUGGAUGCUAGGCGUAGGAGGUAUCGACCCCUCCUGUGCCGCAGCUAACGCACUAAGCAUCCCGCCUGGGGACUACGGCCGCAAGGUUG
This 377-nucleotide ribosomal RNA is filed under the name uncultured bacterium. RNAcentral's name for it is "bacterial SSU rRNA". It matches the Rfam family "Bacterial small subunit ribosomal RNA", at positions 521 to 896 of the family's 1533-position model. The record is from RNAcentral.